RNAcentral lists this ribosomal RNA (464 nucleotides) under uncultured Mycoplasma sp. Its description in RNAcentral is "bacterial SSU rRNA". It matches the Rfam family "Bacterial small subunit ribosomal RNA", at positions 338 to 795 of the family's 1533-position model. The record is from RNAcentral. Lineage: Bacteria; Bacillati; Mycoplasmatota; Mollicutes; Mycoplasmatales; Mycoplasmataceae.
CCUACGGGAGGCAGCAGUAGGGAAUAUUCCACAAUGAGCGAAAGCUUGAUGGAGCGACACAGCGUGCACGAUGAAGGCCCUCGGGUUGUAAAGUGCUGUUGCAAGGGAAGAACAGUUAGUUGAGGAAAUGCUUCUAAUCUGACGGUACCUUGUUAGAAAGCGAUGGCUAACUAUGUGCCAGCAGCCGCGGUAAUACAUAGGUCGCAAGCGUUAUCCGGAAUUAUUGGGCGUAAAGCGUUCGUAGGCUGUUUAUUAAGUCUGGAGUCAAAUCCCAGGGCUCAACCCUGGCUCGCUUUGGAUACUGGUAAACUAGAGUUAGAUAGAGGUAAGCGGAAUUCCAUGUGGAGCGGUGAAAUGCGUAGAUAUAUGGAAGAACACCAAAGGCGAAGGCAGCUUACUGGGUCUAUACUGACGCUGAGGGACGAAAGCGUGGGGAGCAAACAGGAUUAGAUACCCGAGUAGUC